GUUUCCAUUACAAAUAAACUUUAUAAGAUUGUUAGUUUUUGCAGUGUAAAAUAAGGUGAUUGGUGUGGUCAAGAAGAUAAAUGUCUUUGAAUCUGUUGGCUUUUAACAGAAUGAAGAUGUCAAUGUGAGGCGAAAUUGUGUGAUGAGCUGUCUGAGCAUCUACUUCAAUGAAGACCUGGACACACUUGUUAAAGAAUAUGUGGUAUGUAUCAGAAUAGUGUGCCAGUAAUUUUUCCAUCUAGAUAAUAUGGAUUGGUUAUUAGAAUGGAAUGGACAUUAGGACACACUGACCACCAGUAUUUCAACAUUGAGUCCAUUGGGUUGUUUGAAUAAAAAAAAUCAUGCAAGGUAAAUGGUGGUAGAGCUGUCACUCUGAGGGAAUUAAAUCCGCUUGGUCCAGAGGAACCUGAAGAUGAAGUUGUCUGGGUUCUGGCACCCACAUGCCCCUUCUCCGCCAGAAACAACAAUCCUCGCUUAAACAACAAGGUGAUGACACAGACAUUUCCUAGUGCUCAUGAAACUGAAAUGAUUUUACUGCAUUGAUAUGAUUUUGGAAAUGUUUAUUAAGAAGUGCCUUGUAUCAUCAGGAUGCAUGUUCUGGACUGUCUGCUUACGAACUCAAGCACCUUGAGAAUAUCACGCACAAGGAAGCCUUCUUGUCGUCUCUGAAGAUAUGGCAAGUUAAUGGCUUCAUUGGAAGAAAAAUCUCUGCAGUCUCCCCGGAAAUCCCUCCGUUCUAAAAUAGAAAACCUCACCCCAAGUGAAGGGUUGACCCAUAAUCAAGACAUUGAAUCCAGAGAGGCAGAGGAAGACAUGGCAGGAAAGACCAUGGGCAUCUACAAAGUACAAUCAGAGGAUCAUGGUCAAGGUGAUGGACGCUUCACUGAUGUCCGUGUUGUGCUGGAAGGUGUGGAGGUUCUCCACAACCUGCAGAGUGUCACUCAUGCAUGGGUUAUGUUAUAUGGCCUGAUCUACGCGCUCAAUUUGAACUACCCUAAAAGCCUGAAGUGUACAUUUGAGGUGUACCAGAAAAUCCUGAUGGACCUGGACUCAACCAAGCUUUCCCCGAAAGUACAGACACUGAAACUGAAAUUGCUCCAGUGAUUUGGCUAAAAAUAAUAACUUAUACAGCCCCUACCCAUUUUUUUUCACAUAGUGCUCCAACCCAGAGAUAUGUUAAAAUGAUUUCCUAGUUCUAUAAUGAUAUGUUAAUUAGCAACUGAAAAUGGAUCUCUGAGAACAGUUUUAUUUUUUAUUUAUUUAUUUUUUUGGGUGUCCAAGCAGUCAUGUGAUGUUCGAGUGUGGCUGUGUAAGUGGGUUCAUAUGGAUGGUUUCCUAAAUGUUGGCUGAUGUUAACUUGGCUCAAUCCAGAGUUUUGUAUAAAAGAUAAAUAUAAAUAAAUCUGGAAUUUUCCAGUUGGUCUAA
Non-coding RNA from Danio rerio (zebrafish), 1425 nucleotides. The record is from RefSeq and is a predicted model, not a curated record. NCBI's taxonomy places the organism in Eukaryota, Metazoa, Chordata, Actinopteri, Cypriniformes, Danionidae.